AAGGACGGAGUAGAGACAAUUUCAUUGGACUGGCAGAGGAGGAUUUUACCCAAGACUAGGAACGACCGGACUCCAUAAAGUUAGGCUUCCAGGAGCCCACGGUCAAAAUUCAAUUAGGGAGCCAUUUAAUAGACUUUAUGAUAGAUACUGGCGCUGAAUACUCAGUACUCCCAGAACUUUUGCAGAAAAAGGCAUCCAAAAGUGUAGUCAUUAAAAGUGCCACUGGUCAGUCAGCUAAGAGGUCUUUCCUCCAACCUUUAGAAUGCCAGAUUGGGGGACAUCAUUUAACCCAUCAGUUUUUGUAUAUACCUGAGUGUCCAAUGCCUCUCUUAGGUAGAGAUAUGCUGUCCAAAUUGCAGGCCCAAAUCACCUUCACUCCUCGAGGUCCAGAAAUGAAACUGCCAUCAAAGGCAGCAGGAAUAAUUCCCUCUCAAUACCUAAGGAACAAUCAUGGCGCCUAAUGUCAGCCCUGCAAGUCCAACCCACAUUGGAUACAGAAUUAAACAAGCUCCUCCGAACCCUACAAGUGCCACCAGGAGUAUGGGCUGAAAAUAGCCCACCAGGAAUGGCUAAGAAUAUAGCUCCAAUUGUAGUAACCCUAAAACCUAUGGCUACCCCUGUAUCUGUAAAGCAAUAUCCUUUACCCCGGCGAGCAGCAGAGGGCAUCCAGAAACAUUUGGACCGCCUAUUAAAAUAUGGUCUGCUUAAGCCCUGCCAAUCAGAAUGGAACACACCCCUUUUGCCUGUUCGGAAGCCUGGGACAGAUGAAUACAGGCCAGUACAGGACUUGAGGCUCGUAAACCAGGCUAUCGAGACCUUGCACCCAAAUGUACCAAACCCAUAUACCUUGCUGAGUUUGAUCCCACCAGAAGCAACAUUUUUACUGUAUUGGACUUGAAAGAUGCAUUCUUCUGUUGCCGGCUGGCACCACAGAGCCAACCUAUAUUUGCCUUCCAGUGGGAAGACCCUUUGACAGGAACAAAAGGCCAGCUAACCUGGACAAGAUUGCCCCAGGGAUUCAAAAAUUCCCCAACUUUAUUUGGCACUGCCUUGGCGAAGGAUCUAACAAGUUACCCCUCAAUACCUGGAAAAAAGGUGGUUCUGCAAUAUGUAGAUGACCUUAUACUAGCGGCAAAGGAUUUUGAUACCUGUAAAGAAGGGACAGAGGAACUGCUCCACUUGCUCUGGGAAGCUGGCUACCGAGUUUCCCAGAAAAAGGCACAGUUAUGUUUAGAAAAGGUCAAAUAUUUGGGCUUUGACAUCUCACACCAACAACGAGCAUUGAGACCAGAGAGGAAAGAAGCUAUUUGCCUUAUCAAGGAACCUACCACAAGGAAACAACUCAGAGGAUUCCUGGGAACAGCAGGGUUUUGUAGACUAUGGAUACCUGAUUUCAGCAGUCUGGCCAAGCCCUUACAUGAAAGCACUCGAGGUGCAGAAAAGGACCCAUUCGUAUGGGGACCUGAGCAGCAACAAGCCUUUUUAGUUAUCAAACAACGACUUAUGGAGGCCCCAGCCCUGGGACUGCCUAAUUCAGAAAAACCCUUUCAGCUGUAUGUACAUGAACAGAAUGGGAUUGCAGCAGCAGUCCUGACCCAGAGAUUAGGAAGUUGGAACCGUCCAGUAGCUUAUUUGUCAAAACAAUUGGACUCAGUAGCAAAAGGAUGGCCUCCAUGCCUAAGGGCAGUAGCGGCCACUGCAAGCCUUGUCAAAGAAGCUGAUAAAUUUACCUUUGGCCAGACGAUGUAUGUGAAUGUACCUCAUGCUGUUCUGACACUCAUGGAAUAUAAGGGUAGUUAUUGGCUAACGAAUCCAAGGAUGGCUAGAUACCAAGGCCUAUUGUGUGAAAAUCCCAGGAUUCAUCUACGAGUAGUGAAUAUGCUCAAUCCAGCAACUUUGCUGCCCCUACCAGAGGUAGAUGAUGAAGAAUCACAUGAUUGUCUCCAAAUAAUGGAUGAAGUGUAUUCCAGUAGACCCGAUCUGAAAGAUGAACCAUUGAAAAAUCCAGAUGUUGUAUAUUAUACUGAUGGUAGCAGUUACCUGCAUGAAGGUGCCAGACGAGCAGGAUAUGCUGUGGUCACCAAUGAGGAAGUUGUGGAAGCUGAAGCUUUGCCUGCUGGCACCUCAGCACAAAAGGCUGAACUUAUAGGUUUAACUAGAGCUCUGCAAUUGGCAGCCGGAUGUAAGGCAAACAUCUAUACUGAUUCUAAAUAUGCCUUCUUAACCCUGCAUGCACAUGGAGCUCUAUGGAAAGAAAGAGGUCUAAUCGGAGCCCAUGGGAAGGCCUUGAAAUAUGGACCUGAAGUAGAAAUCCUGUUGGAAGCAGUAUGGGCUCCAGAACAGAUUGCUGUAAUGCACUGCAAAGGUCAUGGACGUGGAAGGGAUCCAAUAACCAGAGGAAAUCAUGCUGCUGACAAAGCAGCCCGAGAGGCAGCCCAGAAGCCUGUGGGAGGAUUUAUAGCAGCCCUCAUACCAGAGGUAGUUCCAGAAGAAAUUAAACCUCACUAUACCCCAGAAGAGAGGAAGUGGGCUGAACAGGAAGGAGCGGUUGUGAAGGACGGUUGGAUGAUCCUGCCGGACAAUAGGAUUUAUGUACCUCAUCACCUAGCAGGCACAAUUGUAAGAAAUUAUCAUGAAUCUACUCACCUUGGCGGUACUGCAACCAGAGAGAGUCUCAGUCGGAAGUUGUAUAUUAUUAACCUAUCACAAUUAGCAACUUGCAUUUCACAGAAAUGUGUUCUUUGUGCUAAAAACAAUCCCAGGCAAGGACCGGUACAACCUCCUGGAAUCCAACAUGUGGGAUACGUCCCCAUGGAAAGCCUAAUUGUGGACUUCACAGAGCUGGUCCCUUCUAAGGGAUUCAAGUACCUCCUUGUGUUUGUAGAUACCCUUACCGGAUGGGUUGAAGCUUUUCCCACCAGGACUGAAAAGGCACGAGAGGUAACUAAGAGACUCCUCACUGAAUUGAUCCCGAGGUUUGGAUUACCUAGAUGCAUUGGAAGUGAUAAUGGGCCAGCGUUCAUUGAUCAAGUAGUACAAGAAGUAUGUCGAGUCCUACAAGUGAAAUGGAGACUGCAUGCAGCAUAUAGGCCUCAAAGUUCGGGAAAACUGAAAGAAUGAAUCGGACUCUGAAAACCCAAUUGGCAAAAUUAACCCAGGAAACAGGAUUGGGAUGGGUAGAUGUGUUACCCAUAACACUGUUUCGUGUUCGGUGUGCACCCACAAAAAGACUUAAGUUGUCACCUUUGAGCUCCUGUAUGGGAGGCCACCCUCCUUUGUUCAGGAUAUUCCAGCUGACCUCAAACAAAUAGGAGACCAUGUGACACAGGGACAAGUGCAAUCUCUCUCCCGUGUUUUUGUUUCUCUUAACAGGUGGGCCCUCGAGCGCACGCCGUGCAGCAUUGCCGAGCCGAUUCAUCAGUUCCAGGCUGGCGAUAGCGUAUGGGUGAAAGAGUGGAAACGUGAUCCACUUGCACCUAAGUGGCGUGGGCCUUACACCGUCUUGCUCUCUACUCCAACAGCGGUGAAGGUAGCUGAGGUGACCCCUGGAUUCAUCACUCCCGCUUGAAGAAGUCCGAAGGCAGUUGGACGUGCAAAGGUGACCCCUCUAAUCCUUUUAAACUGACUCUCUCCAAAACCCCUGUAUCUAGUCCCUACGGGGAACGGGCUAGGUCACGGGCAACAUUAGACGACCGGCCUGCUGCAGCCACAACCUGGAAGCUGGCUGACCUGCGCACGCCUGAAGCUUGAGGAGCGUCUGAACCAGCGAUUGUGAACAGGAAGAUUCUCUUAUACAAUUGAUUGACUGCCCCCUUGUGGAACAAUUAUCAGGGAUAUUACUCAUUGGGGAUCCUCGGGAUAUAUGUUUUGGUCUUGGUGGUUCCCCAUUUCUGUCAUUGGGGAAUUAUAUUGGGCCUAAUAUUUUUUGUUAUCACAAUAAGGUAAUCUUUGUGGAAGAAAUGCAUAUACUAGACAUCAACAUGAUUUUAUUAUUAAUCCUGAUCCCUUGGGAAGGGGAAGGGUCCUUGAAUCUGACCAAAUUUGCUAAAUAUGGAUUCCGCCAUGACCACAAUAUGUGGGUAGGCUUAGCUGAGAUGGUAGCCAAUGUUACAAAUAGGACCAAUUGCCUUGUUUGCUCUCUUGGACCAGAUGAUUCAGAGGGAGGUAUGCCCUUAUUACCGAUACCAUUAAAUGCCAUUGGUAUGGUAAGCGAAAUGCCACACCAAACAGAAGUACAGAAUUUCCCGGAUGGAACUCAACUAAACCAAUACGAGUUAUACCUGUGCAAGGGGAAUUCUGUGUACAUAAAUUAUCAGCUGCAGCUGAUUCUAUCAUGAUAGGCUCUUCUCAUUGCCACUAUACUUGGGAUUAUAUUAAGAAUAGUCAAACCUGGGCAAACGGUACUACCUAUCGAACUCGGAAUACCUUGCCCUGUGCACCUCCUUUUAUUCAUGCAUGGAAACUGGUGUGGAACAUAACUGUGACAGAAAAAGGCAAUCUAACAUACUGCACUGUGAACUCUAUGCCCCUUUUGAUAUUUCGCCUUAUGCACUCCACGUACCAAAAACCUCAGACCCGAUGGUUGUGGUGGAUAUGUGGAGAAUGGGCAUACAAGCAACUCCCUCCCAAAUGGAGUGGGACUUGUUUCCUGGGAUGGGUAUUACCACCAAUGUGGAUUAUGCCCACUAGUUCGGCAAAGCGUACACGAAGAAACGCUGAUAUUUCUCAUAUAGCAGGAGGAAGUACCCAAAGUUGGAGUGAUACUGAUGAUUGGCCACCAGAGCGCAUUAUAGCCUAUUAUGAGCCUGCCUCCUGGAAUCCUGAUGAGCUCAUACAAGGGGCACGGGAUCCUAUUUAUAAUCUAAACAGAAUAAUUCGAUUGCAAGCAGUAGUGGAACUUGUAACCAAUGCAACGGCCCAGAGUUUGAGACUUAUUGCACAACAGUUGGAUGAAAGUAGAGCCGCCAUUUUGCAGCUGAAAAUGGGAAUGGAUUAUGUACUUGCCAGGCAGGGAGGCCUAUGUGGAGUCUUAAACUUGACAGGGAAUGCCUGUUGCUUUAACAUUUCUGAUAAUGGUGAGGCAAUCCGUGUGUUGGCCACAAAGAUGGAGAGUAUAGCACAUGUCCCAGUACAAAUAUGGGAAGGAUGGGAUAUGGGAUGGCUCACCAAUUGGUUACCUAAUGUUGCGGGACUCAAAGGGAUACUAUUGUCUUGCUUGUUUUUCUUGACGGUAGUAGUAAUGGUUUUAUGUACGGUGCCAUGUAUCAUUUCAUGUUUUAGAAGUACAAUUAGCAAGAUGAUUUCAAAUGAAACUUUACCUCAUAUUAUGGCCCUAUACAGAGCUUUACCUCAGGAAUAUGACGAAGGUCAAGCUAUCAAGGACACUUGGGAUGAAGGUCCUUGAGCUUGAAAGGGGGGAAUGAGGCAUCUGAUCAAAAUCUGCUUUGAGCUUAAAAAAAUUAUAUUUGUAAAUAUAUUUUUCUCUGCCAGGGAGAAGACCAGCUUGAAUACUCUGACAGCUGUUCAAGGGCCCCACUGCUAUAAAUAGCAGUAUUUCAGGGUUGUAAAAGUAUUUCAAGGUUGUAAAAGGAAAUUAGAGCCAGAGAGCAAAAGGUCACACUGACCAGAAUACAAUCAAGCUGUAAAAACACAAUUAAGAACUGGUAAAUAGUGAAAUUUAUUGUUUAACAGAAGACUCGAGCCAUAAGGUUAAAGGUUAAAUGGAAGAGGUUGCUCUUAGAAACAGCUGCUGGAUAGGGGAAAGGUUUCUUUAUAGAACUUAGGAACUUAGCUUUCACUAAGUUCCUUCUAAUUUGAAAAGGCCUUUCCUUCUAAAAAUCUAUCUAUGUUAUGUAUGAAAUAUAUUGGCUUAAAUGUAAUUAUGCAAAGGAUUUAGAAAGUAAGAAAUGUUAGAUUCUUAUGUUAGAUUCCUAUUAUGGUGGGUGAGAAUGUGAACUCAAGAUCUCUUUAAGAU
Podarcis lilfordi (Lilford's wall lizard) is the source of this 5974-nucleotide non-coding RNA. The record is from the annotation of a GenBank genome assembly. Lineage: Eukaryota; Metazoa; Chordata; Lepidosauria; Squamata; Lacertidae.